RNAcentral lists this microRNA precursor (59 nucleotides) under Ascaris suum (pig roundworm). Its description in RNAcentral is "Asu-Mir-216-P1_pre stem-loop". The record is from RNAcentral. Lineage: Eukaryota; Metazoa; Nematoda; Chromadorea; Rhabditida; Ascarididae.
GAAUAUCAGCAAGAUUGAUCUGGCUGUAUAUAAGUCCAGACCUAUCUGUCGAUAUUGCC